Molecule: non-coding RNA, 390 nt
Organism: Manis javanica (Malayan pangolin)
Lineage: Eukaryota; Metazoa; Chordata; Mammalia; Pholidota; Manidae
Source: RefSeq, a predicted model, not a curated record
CGCCUGGAGAUGGAGCCCAGGUGCUAGGAAAAGGCUGUCGCGCACGCAAGGUGAUGCUCAGACUCCGGUGGCGAGGGACGCAGAUCAGAGCUCCUCGCCUGGAGACCUCCUCCAAGCAGGACACACUCACCCCUCCGGCUCCCUCUCCCGGAAGCGCUUCUCUGUGCUGUCUGCGGGCCUCGGGACGCCCUUCCUUCAUGCAGCGGUAAAACCGAGCGCAGUAGACUUCACUUCCACCUGUAACUCUGCUCUUACCAAGUCGGUCGCGUGAAAGCACAGAGAGAAGGAGGCCGUCUGCACUCCACAAGAAGGACCCCCACUGGGCACCGACCCUGCGGGCACCUGGACCUUGGACUUCCAGUCUCCACAACUGGGAGAAAAUAAAUUUCU